RNAcentral lists this ribosomal RNA (253 nucleotides) under uncultured archaeon. Its description in RNAcentral is "partial 16S ribosomal RNA". The stretch from base 27 to 253 matches the Rfam family "Bacterial small subunit ribosomal RNA", at positions 550 to 776 of the family's 1533-position model. The record is from RNAcentral.
UCCCAGCAGUCCAAGUCGCAAUCACUAUUAUUGGGUCUAAAACAUCCGUAGCUUGCUAUGUAAGUCUCUUGUGAAAUCCGGCCUCUUAAGGGUCGAACUGCAAGAGAUACUGCAUGGCUAGAGACCGGGAGACGUAAAGAGUACGGUUAGGGUAGCGGUUAAAUGCGUUGAUAUUAUGGGGAACACCAAAAGCGAAGGCAAUUCACUGGCGCACUCCUGACGCUGAGACACGAAAGCGUGGGUAGCGAAUGGG